RNAcentral lists this long non-coding RNA (324 nucleotides) under Prunus persica (peach). RNAcentral's name for it is "long non-coding RNA (PPER_LNC007269)". The record is from RNAcentral. Lineage: Eukaryota; Viridiplantae; Streptophyta; Magnoliopsida; Rosales; Rosaceae.
AUAGAGGGAGUGAUAAAGGGAUAUUGAAGGAUGUAGAGCUUCUUAAGCAAAUAACUGACACAUCACGUGGAGCAAUUUCUGCAUUUGUGGAGCGUACAACCAAUGAGAAGGGUCAAGUAGUUGAUGUAAAAGAUAAACUGAGCUCAAUCCUUGGGUUUGGUAUAAAUGAACCUUGGGUUCAGUACUUGUCAAACACGAAGUUUUAUAGGGCUGACAGGGACAAACUUAGAACAUUGUUUAUGUUUUUGGGAGAAUGCUUGAAGCUGAUUGUGGCUGACAAUGAGAUAGGGAGUUUGAAACAAGCAUUGGAGGGCAAAUAUGUAG